AGUGAACGCUGGCGGUAGGCCUAACACAUGCAAGUCGAACGGCAGCACAGUAAGAGCUUGCUCUUACGGGUGGCGAGUGGCGGACGGGUGAGGAAUACAUCGGAAUCUACUUUUUCGUGGGGGAUAACGUAGGGAAACUUACGCUAAUACCGCAUACGACCUACGGGUGAAAGCAGGGAACUUUCGACCCUUGCCGAAUUAAUGAACCGAUGUCGGAUUAGCUAGUUGGCGGGGUAAAGGCCCACCAAGGCGACGAUCCGUAGCUGGUCUGAGAGGAUGAUCAGCCACACUGGAACUGAGACACGGUCCAGACUCCUACGGGAGGCAGCAGUGGGGAAUAUUGGACAAUGGGCGCAAGCCUGAUCCAGCCAUACCGCGUGGGUGAAGAAGGCCUUCGGGUUGUAAAGCCCUUUUGUUGGGAAAGAAAAGCAGCAGGUUAAUACCCCGCUGUUCUGACGGUACCCAAAGAAUAAGCACCGGCUAACUUCGUG
This 491-nucleotide ribosomal RNA is filed under the name uncultured bacterium. RNAcentral describes it as "partial 16S ribosomal RNA". It matches the Rfam family "Bacterial small subunit ribosomal RNA", at positions 29 to 507 of the family's 1533-position model. The record is from RNAcentral.